Cyanistes caeruleus (blue tit) is the source of this 880-nucleotide non-coding RNA. The record is from RefSeq and is a predicted model, not a curated record. NCBI's taxonomy places the organism in Eukaryota, Metazoa, Chordata, Aves, Passeriformes, Paridae.
AGCGCAGCAGAGGCUGCGGAAAAGGCUCCGCACAGGGAAAAGUGGAGGCGGUGGGGUGGGGAGGGGGCUGCCGUUCCAGGCACGAAGCCCCUCGGGCUCUGCCGGGUCCUGUCCAUGCCCAGGGAUCGUCCCAGUGGCUCCUCCUCGGCCAGGGAAGAGCAGCUGGGACAAUCCCGGCAGACAGGGGCAGCUGCUGGGUGCAACAAGAGGGAUGGAAGGGUGUGUUAAUAUGAUAAAAGCUCCUGAAACAGCUCCAUCCUGAGCUCCACUCAGGCAAAACAUCACUGCACCAGCACCCCAGGGAGAGUCUGCAGGCUCGGCCAGAACUCCGACAGUUGGAGAGGGAUUGAAUUCCUCCCUCCCUUCCAGCUCCUACAAAACUCAGCAAGAUUCCCCACAGGAGGCCGGACGUCCCUGCCUGCACAGUGCCCGUGCUUAGUCAUUGCUUUAAAUCCUAAUCUCCACCCCCACAUGACAUCAAAUUCUGAAAUUAUGAUGCAGAUGGAAGGGUUCGACUCCAGGUGAAAAGGGGAGAAAUAACCUUAUAUGAACAAGGAGACAGGAAAUGCAGGUGCAUCCCCGGCAGCACAAAGGGAGGAAGAGGAGAGCUCAUCUCACGCUCCCAAGUCCUGACUGGGAUCCCAGAGCCACAUAUUCAUUUAAUUCAGCUCCAUUUUAAAUUAACCCCAUCCAGCAGCAAAAAUCCUGGCGCUUACCAACAGGAGAGGGACGCUGCCAGGUCCCCAUCCUUGAAAUAUUCACCCACAUUUACGCCGCAUUUUGCACCAGGGAGGGGAAAAGUCUGAUCAAUCUUUCUUUUCUCGAGCCCCAAAUAAUUAAAACCUCAUUCUAAAAAUAAACUCACUGUGGUGGUUCUGCA